AAACAAAAUCCUUGUGGCUCACCCAACUGGCCCAUUAUCCUCCACGCGCACCUCCCCGGCCGAAAUCGACGGCGCCCCACUGCUACGCCCCGAGGAGACAGGCGUACGAGCGACGGAAGUACCGCACCACCGGCAGCGCAGAGGAAGAGAGAGGCGCAGCCAAAGCACCCUCGCCGCCCGCCUCCUCCCCCCGCCGGCCGCAGUUUCUCGCCGCCGCGCCGCCAAUGCCCUGCUCGACCCCCGCGCGUGAUCACGGAUCAAGGGUAGUUGGUACUGGUAGCUUGGUAUAGAUCAUGGUGCUAUUGUGUUUGAUAAGUUAUGAAAGGCUAAGGACACCUUUUUGUAUGUCGGGAGUACCUUUCAAAGUAUCAACCAUACGCGCUGAGGUGCUGCUCAAUGAGACAUUGUUGGAGACAUUCUAGAUCGUCCCUAAGUUGUUAAAGAGAGACUUGUGCUCCCGAACAUAGCAGCCAGCCUGUGAAGGAGGAAAGUGCAGCAGUACUCUUCACAAGGCCUAUUGACUCAUCCUCACCAGCAAAAUGUGUCAUAGAGAGACAGAUAGUGCUGAAGACAGGGAAAUUAACUUGACACGUGCAGCCCCAAGAUGGAGAAGCCUUUUAUAAUUACAGAAUUCCAAACUUAAAGCUGUGCCAAUAUGCUUUCCUAUUUCCAUCAUCAUGCUGAUGUCAAAGGGAGGCUGAGAGGAAAGAACUAUUCGCAAGUACAUAUAUCAUGCAGCAGUAGAUUCGUGUCUUGCUUUUAGUUAUUUGCUUGUAAAACAAGAACUCUAUGGCUUUUAUUUUUUGCUUUACCUAAAUUUUAUGUUUCUGUCAAACCAAAGCAAUACUUGAUCACAAAUUCACAAUCAAUUGCAGUGUGGGUUGUGUCAAAUAGAAUGGGUGAACUGGCUGUUGAUUGUUCCUUUGCUCCAUUUGGACCUCAUAAUAGUACACACAUUACAAUAUCUCAGAUCUAAUGUUGCGAAGUUACUGUUGCUUGAGUAAUUAUGCAAAACGACAUGCAGUCCGGUGCAUGUUCGAGGAAAAAAAAACUGCUGAUUGUGUAAUUUGUGAUAUUAUUCCUUCUCAUCUGUUAUCUUCCAUUCGUUAAUGAUGAUGUUAGGUGGUCAUUAUUGCAGUCUACUGCUGCUGGCAAUCUUGACACUACAUAUCAAAUUAUUAAAUUAAAUGUCCUUUUUCAUCUGGAAGAGCACUAGCAUCCUCCUUUUUGAACAGUUGCUAUUUUCCCGUCUUGUUACUUCUUCCUUUUCAACCUUUUGUUUUUUCUGUCAACUGAUGUGUCAAUUUUUAAAACAUGCAGAUGCAUCCAAUAAUACAGCUCAUACGUCCAAGAAGACACAGGAUAUAAACAAAGCGAAUUAAAGUGCAUAUGCCACAUAAGUUGAAACGGCAUGGAAAGGGACUGCCUGCUCCUGCUCCUCCCAUGGCGAAUGACCACGACCCCCCAGAGCAGCAUCCAGUCUACUUCUACGUCACGAGUGUUCCAUGCAGGGUAAAGCACACACACAGUUGGGGGAGGCGGCCAUGCCCACCUUUCUUCUGCUGCUAAUUAAAACUCAUCUUUGUUAGCUGCUGCUGCUGCUGUUCGUUCGUGCAUGUGCACCUCGUUUUCCCCCCACCUGCAAGAAGAUUUUAUGUGUCAGGCCCAAGAAUUGUCCUCUAUCUCCGUUGCUUUUCAGGUUUUUGGAGCAAUUAGCACAUCCCCGCUUGUUUCGUAUCGCAACGAUUAAAACCAACCGGUGCGUGUGUGCCCGUGGGGGUUAAUGUCACCAUCUGUUCCUCCUCCAUGCAGGACUUGCGGUUGGGCCGAGAUAAACCGACUUUUAGCACCUUGAGCCAAGAGAAAGCUCGCUCACUGAAGCACUCCGGGCGACCCUGCUGCCAUGGUGCAUGCAUUAUCUAGAAGGGGGUGGGAGAUAAGGGACGGCAGCGGCGUGGCGAUUAGCAAGGCUGGCAUUAGAAGAUCACGGGGGUAGGGCGAGUUUGACGAAUGAACGGGAGGGCAUCUUUUCCGGGGUCCCCAACAGGACAUAGGUCCACCCCCUCCCUCCCUCCCUCCCUACAGCACCACACAGGCACAGGCCAAAGGUGACUUACUCGCCCACUUUUCAAUUCAUCCCUUCCAAUUGGGCUUACGAUAAUACUAUUGUUACGAUCAGCAGCAUUAUGCAUGAGAGAGAAAGAGGAGAGAGAGAGGGAGAGGGAGAGGCGUUAAAUUUGUGAUGCAUGGGUCCUGCCGUCCUGGCGAUGAUGAACGAAUGAUCGGUACAGCCGGGAUUCAAGAGGGCUAAAAGAAGAGAUCAGAACAGGACGGACGGCAUCCCAUAGUACGCCCGGCGGGCCCGUCGAAGCCAACACUGGUGCACGCGUACCUUUCGUCUCAUUUCCUCUCCCCUCGUCUCCUCCUCUCUAGUCUCCAGAAGAGAGAAAAGAAGAGGGAGGAGAGAGAGUCGUAGGACACUGGGCCGUCGUCGGUAGGGGUGGGGGUACCGUCCAACCCAAUCCAAUCCACCCAUCCAUUGCUCCCAUGUAGACACAGUCAGUGGCUGGCUACCCAUCGAUGGAUGGAGCGAACGAUGCAGCUAGCGAGGCUGCUAGGGGGGCAAAGGGGAAAAGGGACCACGUCUCCCGCGCGCGCGUGUGUGCCAACCAACUCGACGCGCACUCGCGCUAUAGGCUGCUAAGCUACUGUACAAACCUCCUACGAAUGAGUAUGUUCAUGUCGCAAAUAGUUGGCAGCUGCCCUGGGCCUGGGGUAGCUACCCGGCCACUUCCCCUUGCCCGCUCUCUCGCUCGAUUCCCCGUUGAAUUCGGACGGACCAUGGAUGAAACGCUUGAAAGUUGCCUUCAAUUCAUAUGGCGAAACUUUAACGACGAUGUGACGCGGAACCCGGUGAAACUUCUCUCAAACAUGUGCGUGCAGAUACAUCUUUAUCUUUCUGUAUGCAUAUCUGUUCUUUUGGUAGAAUAUAAUCUAUCUGUAUGUGUACAAGAUGCUUUAUUUUACGUGGUCGGAGCAAGUGAAUACUGCUGUCCUCCCUUUUUAGUCGUGUUUCGUCCCUGUCCGUGGCUAGCUGUCAGCCGUGCGCGCGUGUGUGUGGUAUCCAUGCGUCCGUAGCCAAUUCUGCGCCUCCUGUAUCCCACAUAACCCCAAUGCAUGCCUCUGGAAAGCAUGCAUGUGGGCGCUAUAGAAUGGCGUAAUCGGCAAGAAUCUGGGGUAACAUGGCCUGCUUGCCAUAGGUUUGCGGCAAGGAGUGCUGUUUAAGUACAAGAGGACAUUCAUUCCACGCCACACAAACACACACGAAUGCCACUCUACUAAACAUGCUACAAAUACUACUCGCAUAGCGUGGGCACGCGCUUUACCGCCCUGAUUAAAAUACCUGAUGUAGUCAUUUCAAUUUGUUUUCGCAUGUCUUUGCCUCUUGUUUUUGCCGUUUGUGUACCUUGGUGGCCAAUUUGAACAAUUCCGAUGUUCUCGGUUCUGAGUCCUGCAACUAUGUGAAGAUUUUAGGGGUUUUCUGACCGUGCUUAAUCGAACGGUCCUCUUGCCAUUUCUCCUUCUCAUGCACCCUGAAAGAAACGGUAUCUUCUUUUGUGUGAAGUGGAUGCGUUUUGGGAUAUAUGUGACAACUCAUGGACAAUUUCCGCAUGCACGCCCACUUCUCCACCGAUCCAGUGGCCAGCAGUUAGAAUCACCUUUUUAAUCAACUAUAAAUUGUUCGUCAAAGACUACACCAGGAUUGCCCAACCAUUUGUAGCUCUAGCUUACCUUCCUAAUGUAGUCUAUCCAGGAUUAAAAAAUGUAAUUAAGGACGAGAUCCAUGCAUGCCUCUCUCGCCCGUUGUCCUUUUCAUGGCAAACAAAUGGUCUAUAUGAAUUUGCUUUCAUGUGGUAUUCUGGAGAAUUUGCUUUCAUGCGAUUGGCAUCACUUUCUCCAGCCUAGUAUAUCCAUGUAGCUUGAAAAGAGCCCGACCUUAAUUCUAUUCUAGUCUCUUUCUUUCUCCCUUCACUCUCAGCGAUAGACACCCGCAAAACCAGUAAUAGAUGUUGCAUUCUUGGUAAAAGGCGACAUCAUGUGUAAAUGUCCUCUAAUCGCAAGAAACUGCCCAUGGUUGGCACUUCUUUUCCAUUCCAAUAUGGUAAUAUGAAAUAUCUGUUAUAAUAUUAUUACAUCCAAGUUACAUAUACAGUGUUGUGAAAGCUUUAUAUGGAAUUCAAGAUUCUAUUAUAUUCUCAAUAUGAGGUUAAAAAGGUUUCCACAUUUGCUUUGACAUGCUAAAAUUAAUUGUAAAAAGGAGAGAGCUACAUUAUUCAUUCUAUGGGCAUAGGUUCUAAGUUAAGAUGGGAGUUUAGUUAGAUGCACAUAGAGACUCAUAUCUCUUAUACAAAUAGUAGAUUUUUAUAAGAGGUAUACAAAGAAUAAGAAUGCAUCUACGUUCAAUGAACAUGUCUUUCUGAUCCGCUUUGGCCAUCACAAAAUGCAAAUAGGCUUGCUAACGGAGUUCACUGUGGUCACUAUAUGCAUCUACUAUGGUCACUAGCCCACAUGUUAGCCUCGUCCACCCUCCAUCCCCAUAACUCUUUGUGCUCUCUUGCCAUGAUGCCAUCACGUCGUUUGAUUUAGGAUUGUGGCACCAGUGAGACGCUGCUCGUGUAGCACUACAUCCAAUGACUCUAUGCUCCUUAGUUUUAAGCUUCCACCCAUCCAUCACCAUUAACAAUUAACAAGAAAUGUGCAGGAGACAGGAAAAAGGAGAUGUAUAGGUCACCGAUGAAUCAAAUUGCUAAAUAAGGUGAGCUUUCUUGCCCUAGAUAUUGGGCAACACAACAACACAUUCGCCUGCAAGACCUAUGUUUAAUGAUGUCACUGGUAUGCGCCUAAGGAUAAGGAGUCAGGGGCAAGGGUGCUGACGCAAACAUGUUGAGGAGGACAAUAUAUGCUUCAACGUGGUAGUGUUUGGAAACACACGAGAUUGACCUACUCCCUCCGUUCCCAAAUACUUGUCCUUCUAGGCAUUUCAAAUGGACUCAACAUACGGAUGUAUGUAGACAUAUUUUAAAGUGUAGAUUCAUUCAUUUUGUGCCGUAUGUAGUCACUUGUUGAAAUCUCUAAAAAGACAAGUAUUUAGGAACGGAGGGAGUAGAUGUCAAUUAGCAUGAGGAUAUCAGAGAGGACAUGUAAUACUUCCUCCGAUCCUUUUUACUCUGCAUAUAAGGAUUGUCUAAAGUCAAACUUCGUAAAGUUUGACCAUAUUUAUAUGAAAAAAUAUUAACAUCUAUAAUGCUAAA
Molecule: long non-coding RNA, 5312 nt
Organism: Triticum aestivum (bread wheat)
Lineage: Eukaryota; Viridiplantae; Streptophyta; Magnoliopsida; Poales; Poaceae
Exons: 10
Source: RefSeq, a predicted model, not a curated record